AGGUUUACAAGUUUAAAGAAAUAUUUGAAUUUAUGAUGGUAGUUCCUUAUUCUCAUUUGAUGCUGUCUAAAAUUCAAUUAUAUUAUCAUAAAUCAAAAAUAAUUAUUAAUAGAAUCAUAAAGAUAUUUAGCUUAUUUCAUGAUAUAUGAUGGUUAAAAAAUAAUACAAGAAAAUAUAAUAUCAUCAUCAAAUAUGAUUGACAA
This 203-nucleotide long non-coding RNA is filed under the name Elaeis guineensis (African oil palm). RNAcentral's name for it is "long non-coding RNA (EGUI_LNC017019)". The record is from RNAcentral. Lineage: Eukaryota; Viridiplantae; Streptophyta; Magnoliopsida; Arecales; Arecaceae.